Molecule: long non-coding RNA, 1141 nt
Organism: Manis javanica (Malayan pangolin)
Lineage: Eukaryota; Metazoa; Chordata; Mammalia; Pholidota; Manidae
Source: RefSeq, a predicted model, not a curated record
AUGGAGCAUCUCUGCCAUGCACUCCUCCUGUACUCUCUGACAAGGCUUGCCUAAACCAACGUGCUCUGUCUCUCCAGGUAUCUAUUCGCUAGCUCUAAAUUCCCAGGUAACAAUUCCAAACUUCCCAGUAGUGGGAUGGAGGAUGGAUCAGAGAGGCGUGAGUGUUAAACAAAGGUCAGAGUCCAGGGCCAGUGAAGUUUAUCUUUCCUUGUGUUAUUUGCAUGGCAAAGGUUCAGGUACUAAAUUAACAAGAAGCUGCAAAGACCUUAAAAAAAAAAAGGCAGGAGGCCAAGAAUAUUCUUCCUCCUCUCUCUCCACGCCCUGGAAUAUAUCUUAAAACAAAUAGGCUUCUUCAUAUUUCUCUGGUGUUCAAAGGAGAUGUAGAGUGAAGCCAGGAUUUCUGAAACAAUGUGCUUCCAGCCAAGCAUGGCAGCUCCUGGCCACAGCCUCUCCUGCCCAGAGAGAUGGACCAAGGAUUAAGUCAAGAUGGGCUCAAUGAGACCAUGAAAACAAGGGUCUCAUUACAGACCUGGGUGUUGGAUAUGACCCAGCAGGUCUCGGCCACGAACCAUAUCUGAGGGGCUGCACUGGAGGGAUCACACCUGGAGAAUUUCAUCCCACCGAGAUCUGAUUUGGGGGUGAGAUCCUGGGCCUCAAGCCUCAGAGUGAUUCAGGACUGGAAAGAUGCUUUGGAAGUUUUGUUGGUUUUUGUUUUGAGGGGAUGACUAUUGUGCGAGUGGCUCUGUACCAUUAGGAGCUGAAGGGCAGACUGGAGAUUAUUACAUGCGUGUCCCUGGUGAACCAUGCCUCGCCUCUGGUAUUCACAUCCUUGUGUGGCCUCAGGGCUUGCCUAAUGUGGCAGCAAGAACGGUGCAUGCACAUCCUGGUAAGUGCCUCUGCUUGUCCUCUCGAAACAUGCCUUGGGAUCCAGUGGCCACGUGUCAAGAAGCCCAUAUUAUACGAGGCAACGCGGAGAGACACGCUGGAGGAUCAAAGACCACCUUGGGUGCUCUGGCUCCCACCAGGCGCCCAGCCGAAGGCAGCUGCCUGAGUGACCUCAGCUAUACCACGAACCGUCUAGCUGAGUCCUGACAACCCACAGAAUCAUGAGAAAUAACAAAUUGUUGUUUUAAAGCUCUAA